Molecule: transfer RNA, 72 nt
Filed under: Bos taurus (domestic cattle)
Lineage: Eukaryota; Metazoa; Chordata; Mammalia; Artiodactyla; Bovidae
Also listed under: 5 other names
Rfam family: tRNA
About the family: Transfer RNA (tRNA) molecules are approximately 80 nucleotides in length. Their secondary structure includes four short double-helical elements and three loops (D, anti-codon, and T loops).
Source: Rfam by way of RNAcentral
UCCCUGGUAGCUCAGUCAGUAAAGAACCUGCCUGCAGUGCAGGAGACCUGGGUUUGAUCCCUGGAUUGGGAA